This is a non-coding RNA of Thermaerobacter subterraneus DSM 13965, 70 nucleotides long. The record is from Rfam. Lineage: Bacteria; Bacillati; Bacillota; Clostridia; Eubacteriales; Clostridiales Family XVII. Incertae Sedis.
GAAGCGGGAAGCCGGCUCCCGCUCAUUGCCGGGUAAGACCGGCACCGUCGAUCCGUGAGGAUCGACUGCC